Molecule: long non-coding RNA, 1051 nt
Organism: Peromyscus eremicus (cactus mouse)
Lineage: Eukaryota; Metazoa; Chordata; Mammalia; Rodentia; Cricetidae
Exons: 3
Source: RefSeq, a predicted model, not a curated record
AGGAGGGAGGGAGCAAACAGGUGACAUGGCCGAGUCAUCUCCCAAAGAUCAAGGUUGUCCUGACUGCUGUGGGUUAAACGGCCCCAUCUCUGAUGUCCGCAGCUAACUUUAUUGAGGAGGCGCGGGUUCAGUUGGACAUGAUGGUUCAUGCAUGCCUGUGACUGAUUCUGGCACUCAGAAGACUGAGGCAGGAGGAUUGUUAUGAGUUUAAAACCAGACUGGGUUACAGAACAAAUACCAGGUGAGACUCUGCCUCAAAACAGCAACACGAACAAAAUUUUCCUGUGUCAUGGAAAUCCAGAAAGGACAUUUAUUGCAAGUGAAAAAAACAAGAACAAAACUUCAGACAAGGCAAAUUUCACAGACUUUAACUGAGCAAAGAAUACCUGGUGAACGGGGAGGCCCACAGAAUAUUAAUGUGUUUGAAAAGCUGCCUGCAACAUGGUCAGGUAGCAUUCAUGCAUAGAAAACCGGGGUGAGGUGUUCAGAUUGCUUAAUUGGUUUCACAUCUAUGUUUGCCUGAUUUGAGUCGCUUGGCGGCCCGUGAAUGACGGAAGCUCGGGGCUGUAAAACUCAACUUCUGGCUACACUCAGAUAUUUAAAUGAUAAGCCAAGGUGCAGAUCAUGUGAUCUAGACUACCGAGGCAUCCUAAGGCCAAAAGUUAAGCACAUUGUUGAGGUCCUACAGUUGUCAGAGUUCUCAAAUUGAGCACGAAGGAACCACCACUGUGGCACUCUAGCAGAGGCAGGAACACUGAUCCCACACCUAGAACUCUGGCUCAGGAAGUCAAGCAGGAUGGUCUUUCCCAGAUGUCCUCAUCUUAACACUGGACUCUCCAGCACCCAGAAUGAGUCUACUCCUUCAGGAUUCCAACAUAGAAUAAAGACCAGCAGCUCUCCAGGAAUCGUCCAGGCCUCCAGUACCAGGCUGGGACUGCCGAGACAUCAGCCUCGUGGACUGAACAACUACGGGAUUUCUUAGCCUCUGCACUGUGAGACAGCCAUUGCUGGACACACACCACAGCCUGUGAGCCAAUAUAAUAAAGCUUCU